This 980-nucleotide long non-coding RNA is filed under the name Homo sapiens (human). RNAcentral's name for it is "GATA6 antisense RNA 1 (head to head)". Lineage: Eukaryota; Metazoa; Chordata; Mammalia; Primates; Hominidae. The record is from RNAcentral.
AAACAGUUAUCACAACUCUGUACAAACUGAUACGGUCCCUAGCGGGCAAAAGGGACUGGAAAUGAACGUCGCGGGGUUAUCAGCGCCGAUCUGUCAGCGGCAACUCGCGCGGCCGCAGGCUCGUCCGCUGCAGGAGCCGUGAUAUAUGUCUCGCUCCCUUUCGCUUACAGAAAGGAUUUCUUCCGACAGACGUGACCCCAGAAGGCUGCCGAGGGAGACUUUAGGACAAGAGGCGUUGUUUUUUUAGGGAAGGAAGAGGAGCCUGUGCAGAGUUGAACUGGGGUGGAGAGGUGCCUUGUAAAGUAUGGUUUCCAGAGAUGGUGAGACCUCGUAGCUAAGCGUUGUUUCCUCUGCACGUAACUUUUCAGCGUGGCCGCAUUUGGAAAAGGCUGAAGGUAGAAAACUCUGGAAUGGAGAGGCUGGCGACUGGAGCAGGAUCCAGGGGCUUUAAAUUUUAACCUGAAUGCGAUCGAAUGCGCGACUCCCAGAAGAGAUAGCCAGGCGUCCGCCCGGCCGCUCAACCCCCGCCAGGACUCGGAAUGCCUUGCUUUUGGUUCUUUUCUACAAGGAUGUCUGCGUGGAUAUCCCUGGACACUCGAUACCCCCCGGGGACCUGCUUUUCCCGCAGCUCCGCAGACGCGGCGGGAGGGCGCGCUGGCCCCGGCGCUGCUGGGACAGAGGUGAGCAGCGGGGUGGACAUUGACCGAUUCGACAACGUUCGGGCUCUAAGGGCUCGGGAAGGGACCCGGCAUUUUACCCUCCAGAUUCCCAAUCUAUUUUUAAAAAUAAUGUUCAAAACAUAUGGGAAAAAUAAGUGAUUGCUCCUUUUCAUGGUCACAGAUUGUAUUUAUUUUUUCAGACUGGUUUUCCAACCUAACGAGGGAAUGGGUAGUGAAUGUUGUUGUUGUUGUUGUUGUUUAUGUUGGUUAAUUUCGAAAUAAAACUGUUUAACUCGUACAGUUGAUUCAGACAGAAAACCA